GCUCAGGAUGAACGCUGGCGGCGUGCCUAAUACAUGCAAGUCGAACGAAACUUCUUUAUCACCGAGUGCUUGCACUCACCGAUAAAGAGUUGAGUGGCGAACGGGUGAGUAACACGUGGGCAACCUGCCCAAAAGAGGGGGAUAACACUUGGAAACAGGUGCUAAUACCGCAUAACCAUAGUUACCGCAUGGUAACUAUGUAAAAGGUGGCUAUGCUACCGCUUUUGGAUGGGCCCGCGGCGCAUUAGCUAGUUGGUGAGGUAAAGGCUUACCAAGGCAAUGAUGCGUAGCCGAACUGAGAGGUUGAUCGGCCACAUUGGGACUGAGACACGGCCCAAACUCCUACGGGAGGCAGCAGUAGGGAAUCUUCCACAAUGGGCGAAAGCCUGAUGGAGCAACGCCGCGUGGGUGAAGAAGGUCUUCGGAUCGUAAAACCCUGUUGUUAGAGAAGAAAGUGCGUGAGAGUAACUGUUCACGUUUCGACGGUAUCUAACCAGAAAGCCACGGCUAACUACGUGCCAGCAGCCGCGGUAAUACGUAGGUGGCAAGCGUUAUCCGGAUUUAUUGGGCGUAAAGGGAACGCAGGCGGUCUUUUAAGUCUGAUGUGAAAGCCUUCGGCUUAACCGGAGUAGUGCAUUGGAAACUGGGAGACUUGAGUGCAGAAGAGGAGAGUGGAACUCCAUGUGUAGCGGUGAAAUGCGUAGAUAUAUGGAAGAACACCAGUGGCGAAAGCGGCUCUCUGGUCUGUAACUGACGCUGAGGUUCGAAAGCGUGGGUAGCAAACAGGAUUAGAUACCCUGGUAGUCCACGCCGUAAACGAUGAAUGCUAAGUGUUGGAGGGUUUCCGCCCUUCAGUGCUGCAGCUAACGCAAUAAGCAUUCCGCCUGGGGAGUACGACCGCAAGGUUGAAACUCAAAGGAAUUGACGGGGGCCCGCACAAGCGGUGGAGCAUGUGGUUUAAUUCGAAGCAACGCGAAGAACCUUACCAGGUCUUGACAUCUUCUGACAAUCCUAGAGAUAGGACUUUCCCUUCGGGGACAGAAUGACAGGUGGUGCAUGGUUGUCGUCAGCUCGUGUCGUGAGAUGUUGGGUUAAGUCCCGCAACGAGCGCAACCCUUAUUGUUAGUUGCCAGCAUUAAGUUGGGCACUCUAGCAAGACUGCCGGUGACAAACCGGAGGAAGGUGGGGAUGACGUCAAAUCAUCAUGCCCCUUAUGACCUGGGCUACACACGUGCUACAAUGGACGGUACAACGAGUCGCAAGACCGCGAGGUUUAGCAAAUCUCUUAAAGCCGUUCUCAGUUCGGAUUGUAGGCUGCAACUCGCCUACAUGAAGUCGGAAUCGCUAGUAAUCGCGGAUCAGCAUGCCGCGGUGAAUACGUUCCCGGGCCUUGUACACACCGCCCGUCACACCAUGAGAGUUUGUAACACCCAAAGCCGGUGGGGUAACCUUUUGGAGCCAGCCGUCUAAGGUGGGACAGAUGAUUGGGGUGAAGUC
RNAcentral lists this ribosomal RNA (1497 nucleotides) under Ligilactobacillus animalis. Its description in RNAcentral is "Lactobacillus animalis partial 16S rRNA". It matches the Rfam family "Bacterial small subunit ribosomal RNA". The record is from RNAcentral. Lineage: Bacteria; Bacillati; Bacillota; Bacilli; Lactobacillales; Lactobacillaceae.